UCCGCCAUGGUGUAAUGGCAGCACCACAGCCUUUGGAGCUGUUUGUCUAGGUUCGAAUCCUGGUGGCGGAG
RNAcentral lists this transfer RNA (71 nucleotides) under Microbacteriaceae bacterium. Its description in RNAcentral is "tRNA-Gln". It matches the Rfam family "tRNA". Rfam says of the family: Transfer RNA (tRNA) molecules are approximately 80 nucleotides in length. RNAcentral also lists the same sequence under 1 other name. The record is from RNAcentral. Lineage: Bacteria; Bacillati; Actinomycetota; Actinomycetes; Micrococcales; Microbacteriaceae.